Molecule: ribosomal RNA, 237 nt
Filed under: uncultured Staphylococcus sp.
Lineage: Bacteria; Bacillati; Bacillota; Bacilli; Caryophanales; Staphylococcaceae
Description: partial 16S ribosomal RNA
Rfam family: Bacterial small subunit ribosomal RNA
Source: RNAcentral
CGGGUGAGUAACACGUAAAGAACCUGCCUCAUAGACUGGGAUAACUUCGGGAAACCGGAGCUAAUACCGGAUAAUAUAUUGAACCGCAUGGUUCAAUAGUGAAAGACGGUUUUGCUGUCACUUAUAGAUGGAUCCGCGCCGCAUUAGCUAGUUGGUAAGGUAACGGCUUACCAAGGCAACGAUGCGUAGCCGACCUGAGAGGGUGAUCGGCCACACUGGAACUGAGACACGGUCCAG